Small nucleolar RNA from Juglans microcarpa x Juglans regia, 106 nucleotides. RefSeq annotates it as small nucleolar RNA R64/Z200 family. Lineage: Eukaryota; Viridiplantae; Streptophyta; Magnoliopsida; Fagales; Juglandaceae. The transcript has a single exon. The record is from RefSeq and is a predicted model, not a curated record.
AUUUGCUGUGAUGAAUCAUGAAUAUUCACAUGUCAGACUUCAGAGAUUUUUCCUCUUUCAUAGGGGAAGAGAUCCAUGAGAUAACAUUCAUGUUUCUGAGCAUAAU